Molecule: non-coding RNA, 263 nt
Organism: Cinara cedri
Lineage: Eukaryota; Metazoa; Arthropoda; Insecta; Hemiptera; Aphididae
Source: the annotation of a GenBank genome assembly
AAACGGUAGAUAACUUAAUUUCUAUUAAAUUGCCUCCGAGAUGAGCCUACGAUAUUCGAGAAUCUAAAAUAUUGUCAGGCGUUCACACGGCAAGUUUCGUAAUAUCGCCAUCGCGAUAAUGAAAUUUUUGACACGAUAUAUUGUUCCAGUGUGAAUUAUCCCGAACCUAUUCCGGUGUAAAUUACUGACAGGUACAUUAUAAUUGUUUAUUUAACAUUAGACGUAGCAUAAUGCAAUAUUUUCCAACAAAAGACAUUUUCAAA